This 732-nucleotide ribosomal RNA is filed under the name Aculus amygdali. Its description in RNAcentral is "partial 18S ribosomal RNA". It matches the Rfam family "Eukaryotic small subunit ribosomal RNA", at positions 389 to 910 of the family's 1831-position model. The record is from RNAcentral. Lineage: Eukaryota; Metazoa; Arthropoda; Arachnida; Trombidiformes; Eriophyidae.
ACAAGCCUGAGAAACGGCUAGUAGGACUAAGGUCUGCAGCAGGCGCGAAACUUACACAAUGCUAGAUUUUUGAUGAUUAGCGAUGUAGUGAAGAAAAAUAACGAUGUGCUUGUUUUUAAACAAACUUGCACAAUUGGAAUGAGACGACUUUAAAAGGGUCAGUCGAGUAACAAAUGGAGGGCAAGUCUGGUGCCAGCAGCCGCGGUAAUUCCAGCUCCAUUAGCAUACAUUAAAGUUGUUGCGGUUAAAAAGCUCGUAGUUGAAUUUUGGACGAGUUCUUGGGUUGGGCGGCCGUCAAGGGACACUUCGGUGUCCUGGUCGUCUUUUACCUGUUGAGCUCGUUGUUUCGUCACUUAAUCGAGUGCGAAGCGGGGCGGAAUGAGUAUAAAACUUCGGUUUUUCAUUACGCCAUGUUUACCUUGAGAAAAUUAGAGUGCUCAGAGCAGGCAGUUGGGGUGUAAAAACCUCUUUAUGCUUGAAUAAUGUUGCAUGGAAUAAUAGAAUACGGCCUCGGUUCUAUUCUGUUGGUCUUAUAGAACAACAAACAAGUUGGUUAUGGCGUUAAAUGUUUCAAUUUGGAGUGGCAUUGUAUUGCUUGUUGUCUUGAACCUAAAAAUUCAAGUACCAUCAAUAUUUUGUCAUCAAAGCUCCUUAUUGUAAGCAAGCCACCAGCCAACUGAGGCAAUGGUUAAAAGAAAUAGUCGCGGCGGCAUCAGUACUGCAUCGUGAGAG